RNAcentral lists this ribosomal RNA (250 nucleotides) under uncultured prokaryote. Its description in RNAcentral is "partial 16S ribosomal RNA". It matches the Rfam family "Bacterial small subunit ribosomal RNA", at positions 524 to 773 of the family's 1533-position model. The record is from RNAcentral.
UACGUAUGGUGCAAGCGUUAUCCGGAUUUACUGGGCGUAAAGGGUGCGUAGGCGGAAUGGUAAGUCAGAUGUGAAAACUAUGGGCUCAACCCAUAGCCUGCAUUUGAAACUGCCGAUCUAGAGUGCAGGAGAGGAAAGUGGAAUUCCUAGUGUAGCGGUGAAAUGCGUAGAUAUUAGGAGGAACACCAGUGGCGAAGGCGGCUUUCCGGACUGUAACUGACGCUGAGGCACGAAAGCGUGGGGAGCAAAC